CGAGGAAUAUUGGUCAAUGGGCGCAAGCCUGAACCAGCCAUCCCGCGUGCAGGAAGACGGCCCUAUGGGUUGUAAACUGCUUUUCCAGGGAGAGAAACCUGCGCACGUGUUGCGCAAUUGACGGUACCCUGGGAAUAAGCAUCGGCUAACUCCGUGCCAGCAGCCGCGGUAAUACGGAGGAUGCAAGCGUUAUCCGGAUUCAUUGGGUUUAAGGGGUGCGCAGGCGGACUAUUAAGUCAGUGGUGAAAGCCUGCAGCUUGACUGCAGAACUGCCAUUGAUACUGAUAGUCUUGAGUUUGGUUAAGGUAGGCGGAAUGUGUAAUGUAGCGGUGAAAUGCUUAGAUAUUACACAGAACACCAAUUGCGUAGGCAGCUUACUGAGCCGACACUGACGCUGAGGCACGAAAGCGUGGGGAUCGAACAG
This 424-nucleotide ribosomal RNA is filed under the name uncultured bacterium. RNAcentral describes it as "bacterial SSU rRNA". It matches the Rfam family "Bacterial small subunit ribosomal RNA", at positions 355 to 775 of the family's 1533-position model. The record is from RNAcentral.